CAGACAGACGUCUAACUUUAAAACAGAUGGAACCCCAGAACAUUUCCAGGAUACAUAAAUCUGAAUUUUGUGUUACAUUUUAUGCCUGAGACAGCUAACCCAUCCAAAUUGAUGGACCUAAUGUGCCACAAGAACAGGAGAAGAGCAAAAUGGGAAAGACAGCUUAAGGAGAGAAUAGUAAAUGUUUGAAACAGACCCAGACAAAAUGGGCCUCUCAUGGGCCAAACCCAAAGGAGGCCAGAGAUGAUCCAGCCUGUAUAGACCAGUCUCCUGGGCCAUAAGCAGCCGGGCAGAGAAGUAUGGAGAGUGGAGGAAAAGCUCCACUGGAGGGG
Molecule: long non-coding RNA, 332 nt
Organism: Gorilla gorilla gorilla (western lowland gorilla)
Lineage: Eukaryota; Metazoa; Chordata; Mammalia; Primates; Hominidae
Exons: 3
Source: RefSeq, a predicted model, not a curated record